Molecule: ribosomal RNA, 534 nt
Filed under: Triticum aestivum (bread wheat)
Lineage: Eukaryota; Viridiplantae; Streptophyta; Magnoliopsida; Poales; Poaceae
Description: partial small subunit ribosomal RNA
Source: RNAcentral
AUGCCGCUCGAGGAGGCCUCCGCGGCGGCCACCGUUCCAGCGGUGUCUCCGGCUGUUGCAGUCGUCGUCCUUCCGCCGUCUGCAUCGCCAUCUCGGGCUGAUAGCGUCGUGGAGACCACGACAGGAGCAGGGUCGUGCACUUGGGCUGCAAGCACCAUCCCGGCUGCUGGCGUUCUCCCUCGACCGCGGCCGCUGCCGCCAGCUUGCAGAUUCAGGAGGGAGGGUGGGGGUGUGAAGGCCUCGUGCACGCCCCGUCUCAAUCCUACGUCAACAUCUGCUUCUGUCCGGACUCAUGCCGCCCCUGUCCCUCUUGUCGGUGCCGUCUCAAGUAUGCUGCUGCCGGCCCCUGCUGCCCCAGCGAAUGGAGAGGACGGGCGCUGUGAAGAGGAUCUGGCUCUGUUGCUGCCCGCCAAUGUAAAGAGCACCGUUGUUGCCAUGGGGCGCGAGCUGACCAGUGCACCGCGAGCCCGAGCCCUGUUGCCGGCCCCUGUGGCCCCGGCCAAUGAAGAGGCUAUGGAGAGGAGAUGGCCUUGA